Molecule: ribosomal RNA, 442 nt
Filed under: uncultured bacterium
Lineage: Bacteria
Description: partial 16S ribosomal RNA
Rfam family: Bacterial small subunit ribosomal RNA
Source: RNAcentral
CCUACGGGAGGCAGCAGUGGGGGAUAUUGCACAAUGGGGGAAACCCUGAUGCAGCGACGCCGCGUGGGCGAAGAAGUAUUUCGGUAUGUAAAGCCCUAUCAGCAGGGAAGAAGAAAUGACGGUACCAGAAGAAGAAGCACCGGCUAAAUACGUGCCAGCAGCCGCGGUAAUACGUAUGGUGCAAGCGUUAUCCGGAUUUACGGGGGGUAAAGGGAGCGCAGGCGGCACGGCAAGCCUGAUGUGAAAGCCCGGGGCUCAACCGCGGGACUGCCUGGGGAACUACCGGGCUGGAGUGCCGGAGAGGUAGGCGGAAGUCCUAGUGUAGCGGUGAAAUGCGUAGAUAUUAGGAGGAACACCAGUGGCGAAGGCGGCCUACUGGACGGUGACUGACGCUGAGGCUCGAAAGCGUGGGGAGCAAACAGGAUUAGAUACCCCAGUAGUC